ACUCCUACGGGAGGCAGCAGUGGGGAAUCUUCCGCAAUGGACGAAAGUCUGACGGAGCAACGCCGCGUGAGUGAUGACGGCCUUCGGGUUGUAAAGCUCUGUUAAUCGGGACGAAAGGCCUUCUUGCGAAUAGUGAGAAGGAUUGACGGUACCGGAAUAGAAAGCCACGGCUAACUACGUGCCAGCAGCCGCGGUAAUACGUAGGUGGCAAGCGUUGUCCGGAAUUAUUGGGCGUAAAGCGCGCGCAGGCGGAUAGGUCAGUCUGUCUUAAAAGUUCGGGGCUUAACCCCGUGAUGGGAUGGAAACUGCCAAUCUAGAGUAUCGGAGAGGAAAGUGGAAUUCCUAGUGUAGCGGUGAAAUGCGUAGAUAUUAGGAAGAACACCAGUGGCGAAGGCGACUUUCUGGACGAAAACUGACGCUGAGGCGCGAAAGCCAGGGGAGCGAACGGGAUUAGAUACCCUGGUAGGCGUAGU
RNAcentral lists this ribosomal RNA (473 nucleotides) under uncultured bacterium. Its description in RNAcentral is "bacterial SSU rRNA". It matches the Rfam family "Bacterial small subunit ribosomal RNA", at positions 335 to 800 of the family's 1533-position model. The record is from RNAcentral.